UUUAACUGGAAUAUCCAACUGUCACACCUUCCCCAACCGAUGUACAAAAGUUCCCGAAUUCCUUGGUGAAGGUGGAACCUGGAAUACACAGACAUGAAUUUCCAGAUUCCAAUGUCUUAGAAGAGAACCAUCAACAGCACAUGGUUGCUCCUGAGAAUGCUGAAAUACUGCAAGUCCAGGCAGACACAUCUGUAGAUGUAUCAGAAAGCGAAGCAGAAGUGUACCCUGAAACUUCUACCAGUGCCAAUUCACCACACAGCAAACAAAAACUACCAACGAGGACGGUAAAGGU
This is a long non-coding RNA of Peromyscus eremicus (cactus mouse), 292 nucleotides long. RefSeq lists it as uncharacterized. The record is from RefSeq and is a predicted model, not a curated record. The transcript is spliced from 4 exons. Lineage: Eukaryota; Metazoa; Chordata; Mammalia; Rodentia; Cricetidae.